GUUUUAAUAAUUUAAUAAAAAAUAUUGGUCUUGUAAACCAAAAUUAAGGUAACCUUUUAAAACU
RNAcentral lists this transfer RNA (64 nucleotides) under Anaplecta sp. 4 ZQW-2020. RNAcentral describes it as "tRNA-Thr". It matches the Rfam family "tRNA". From Rfam's summary of the family: Transfer RNA (tRNA) molecules are approximately 80 nucleotides in length. The record is from RNAcentral. Lineage: Eukaryota; Metazoa; Arthropoda; Insecta; Blattodea; Anaplectidae.